AUUCCAGCUCCAAUAGCGUAUAUUAAAGUUGUUGCAGUUAAAAAGCUCGUAGUUGGAUUUGUGGUGGUGCCUGCGGUCCAAAAUGUUUUGGUGCUGUCGGGCACUGCCAUCCUUGGGUGGAACCUGUGGGGCAUUAGGUUGUUUUGCAGGGGAUGCCCAUCGUUUACUGUGAAAAAAUUAGAGUGUUCAAAGCAGGCUUACGCCGUUGAAUAUAUUAGCAUGGAAUAAUGAGAUAGGACUUUGGUGCUAUUUUGUUGGUUUGCGCACCGAAGUAAUGAUUAAUAGGGACAGUUGGGGGUAUUCGUAUUCCAUUGUCAGAGGUGAAAUUCUUGGAUUUUUGGAAGACGAACUACUGCGAAAGCAUUUACCAAGGAUGUU
This 378-nucleotide ribosomal RNA is filed under the name Caloneis fontinalis. RNAcentral describes it as "SSU rRNA". It matches the Rfam family "Eukaryotic small subunit ribosomal RNA", at positions 582 to 968 of the family's 1831-position model. Lineage: Eukaryota; Bacillariophyta; Bacillariophyceae; Sellaphorales; Pinnulariaceae. The record is from RNAcentral.